AAAUACUACCGUCGUUCCUCUACUGUACCCACUGCGACUCACCAGUACAUACGAGUAUCUUCAACUCCGGUUUCGUUCAAAAGGCGUACGCCCUUUGGGAACAAUGAUUGGGAUGCUUCAGACGUUGCUGGAAUACCUCUGUGGCUCUCUAUCGUUGUUAUCGGUCUUGUUUGUACCAUAUACACAGCAAUCGUAA
Mizuhopecten yessoensis (Yesso scallop) is the source of this 196-nucleotide long non-coding RNA. RefSeq lists it as uncharacterized. The record is from RefSeq and is a predicted model, not a curated record. The transcript is spliced from 3 exons. Lineage: Eukaryota; Metazoa; Mollusca; Bivalvia; Pectinida; Pectinidae.